GAUGAACGCUGGCGGCGUGCUUAACACAUGCAAGUCGAACGAUGAAAGCGGGAGCUUGCUCCUGCUGGAUUAGUGGCGAACGGGUGAGUAACACGUGAGUAACCUGCCCUUGACUCUGGGAUAAGCGUUGGAAACGACGUCUAAUACCGGAUACGACCUUCGGAGGCAUCUCCUGGGGGUGGAAAGAAUUCGGUCAAGGAUGGACUCGCGGCCUAUCAGCUAGUUGGUGAGGUAAUGGCUCACCAAGGCGACGACGGGUAGCCGGCCUGAGAGGGUGACCGGCCACACUGGGACUGAGACACGGGCCCAGACUCCCUACGGGAGGCAGCAGUGGGGAAUAUUGCACAAUGGGCGCAAGCCUGAUGCAGCAACGCCGCGUGAGGGACGACGGCCUUCGGU
Molecule: ribosomal RNA, 399 nt
Filed under: uncultured bacterium
Lineage: Bacteria
Description: bacterial SSU rRNA
Rfam family: Bacterial small subunit ribosomal RNA
Source: RNAcentral